RNAcentral lists this microRNA (21 nucleotides) under Brachypodium distachyon (stiff brome). RNAcentral's name for it is "bdi-miR5185l-5p". Lineage: Eukaryota; Viridiplantae; Streptophyta; Magnoliopsida; Poales; Poaceae. The record is from miRBase by way of RNAcentral.
UUCUAAGUCAAUCUCUAAAUC